Non-coding RNA from Vicia faba (fava bean), 279 nucleotides. NCBI's taxonomy places the organism in Eukaryota, Viridiplantae, Streptophyta, Magnoliopsida, Fabales, Fabaceae. The record is from the annotation of a GenBank genome assembly.
AUGUCUUCAAACCAGCAGAAAACCGAUGUCAAUGUCGUUAUCACCGCAUCGCCUCCUUCGUUCAUCGUUAACGGUGCCCUGAAACGCGUUUGGAUUCUCAAAACACCGUACCAAAAUCCCUUCCGUUGUUGUUUACAUAGAUCACACCAGGUUGAGAGAACUGUGAAGUUCGAUCGCAAUCCGCUAGCAUUGUUCUUUUUUUUUUCUGUUUCCGUAGAGUUUUUGAGUUUGAGAGCAGAGUCGAAAUUGGAAGGUUAUGUUGUUGUUAAUCGAAAUUGA